RNAcentral lists this ribosomal RNA (512 nucleotides) under uncultured bacterium. RNAcentral describes it as "partial 16S ribosomal RNA". The record is from RNAcentral.
GGAGUUAGCCGGUGCUUCUUCUGCGAGUAACGUCACAGAUGUAAGGUAUUAACUUACACCCUUUCCUCCUCGCUGAAAGUGCUUUACAACCCGAAGGCCUUCUUCACACACGCGGCAUGGCUGCAUCAGGGUUUCCCCCAUUGUGCAAUAUUCCCCACUGCUGCCUCCCGUAGGAGUCUGGGCCGUGUCUCAGUCCCAGUGUGGCUGAUCAUCCUCUCAGACCAGCUAGGGAUCGUCGCCUAGGUGAGCCUUUACCUCACCUACUAGCUAAUCCCACCUGGGCUUAUCCAUCAGCGCAAGGCCCGAAGGUCCCCUGCUUUCCCCCGUAGGGCGUAUGCGGUAUUAGCAGUCGUUUCCAACUGUUAUCCCCCACAAAUGGGCAAAUUCCCAGGCAUUACUCACCCGUCCGCCGCUCGUCAUCUUCAAAAGCAAGCUUUUGAAAUGUUACCGCUCGACUUGCAUGUGUUAGGCCUGCCGCCAGCGUUCAAUCUGACGCCAUAUACAAACUCUGA